GCCAGCGGGACGGCCAUGGCCUGGGCCGCGGCCGGGGCCGCGGCGGGGGCGGGGGUGGGGG
RNAcentral lists this microRNA precursor (61 nucleotides) under Myotis lucifugus (little brown bat). RNAcentral describes it as "miRNA (ENSMLUG00000027788.1)". The record is from RNAcentral. Lineage: Eukaryota; Metazoa; Chordata; Mammalia; Chiroptera; Vespertilionidae.